This 2038-nucleotide long non-coding RNA is filed under the name Gadus morhua (Atlantic cod). RNAcentral describes it as "lncRNA (ENSGMOG00000030206.1)". Lineage: Eukaryota; Metazoa; Chordata; Actinopteri; Gadiformes; Gadidae. The record is from RNAcentral.
UUGUCAGCCAUCUAAACUGUAAUUCAGUGGGCAAUUUGAUUGACGCCAAAUCAGAAGGGGCGGGGCUUAGGACAUGCGUCGGUACGGAAGGCUAGGUGGUAGGAGGAAGCAGACGACACAAUGGCAGAAGAAACCCUCGGUGCAUUCGCCAUAGCGAAGAUCGCCCUAGCAGGCGCCUCGGCGGGGUUUGCCUUGGGGGACGCGGCGCUGAUGGCGGUGGACCCUGGCCUGAUCGCCAACGGCCCUCUGGGCAGCGCCACGGGCCUGGCCAUGGUGGCGGACAAGGUGGGCUCCACGGGCGUGGCCGGCGUGAUGGCGAGCCUCGUGUUCGCCGCCACCUUCUUCUCCCUGGGCUUCGGCUUCAACCUCGCCUCCCUGCUGAUGUCCAUCCUGGCGCGGUGCGGCGCGCCGCACGACGGCCGUCUGACGGACGGCGCGGCCGGAGCCUUCACCGCCGUGGGGGCGGUGGCGGCCGGCUUACUGGGCGGCCUGGCCCCGGCGUGGUGCCUCCUGGGGGCCGGGUGCGUGCUGGUGCUGUCGACGUACGUCCGGACGGACGUGAACGAGACGGCCACCGCCCUGCUGGUCAUCUACGUCACGCUGCACGCCAACGCCGUGCUGGGCCGCAUGGGCGUCCUGCUGGGGCUGUUCGCCACGGCCAUGAGCGUCUCGUUCAUCGUGGGCCUCCGCAAGUUCCUGAGGCAGCGCUGGGCGCCGCCGCCGCCGUCGGACCGCCGGCCCGGCGGCCUGCUGGGGAAGCUGUCGCUGAGCGUGGUGGUCGUGGCCUUUCUGGGCUUCCCCAUCGGCCUGGGCAUCGGCGGGAAACCCGUGGUUGAAGCGGGCGCCGAUGGAGCGGCGGCGGCGGCGGGCGGGGAGGCGGAGGUGGCGUUGCUGCUGGAGGCGGUGUUCUGGGUGGGGGUCCUAUUCGCCCCCCUGCUGGGCGCCUCCCUGGGCACCAUGGGCGCCGUGGGCCUGGGGACCGAGGGCGCGGCCCGCACGGCCAUGGCGGCGGCGGCGGCGUCCUGCCUCGCCCUGGGCGUGGUCCUCCCGGCCUGCACGGGGGCGGGGUCCCGCAGCUGCCUGGGGGGGAUCCUGGGGGCGGCGGCGGCCACGGGGCUGGCCCUGGCGGCGUCCCGCGUGGCGUUGAAGGCGGAGCACCGGGCCACCAACGUGGUACCAGCUCCUGGCGUCGGCCCUCACCGUGUCCCUCGUCGCCACCAUGGCGUUCUUCUGCGGGGCCCCCAGGAGCCCCUUUAACCUGCAGUACGGGCCGGGCACGGGCGCAGACCUGAUGAGGCAGCUCGGCAAGGAGACGGUUUCCACGGGAGCGGCGCCGUUCGGGGCCGGGGCCCUCGGGGCCGCCGCGCUGGGCACGGCGGCCCUCGGGAGCCUGGGGGCGGUGGGCGUGGCCAUCGCCGUCGCGCUGGCGCUCGGAAAGACUCUGAAGAGCAUGGCGGAGCAGCCGGUGAAGGCUGCGGCGGCCACGCACGACGACUGAGGGACGGGCGGACGGUUGGGCUGUUGGGACUGGAACGAACCAAUAGGUCUGAGAAUGAGGGGGAUACCACGCACUUGUUAAACGCACGGUCUCACUCACACACACAAUAUUUGUGUUUGAUUGUUUGUUUGUCUUUGUGGCGAUGCAUGUACACGCUUUUAAGCAUUAAUUUGUUUUCAAAUAAAAUUAUUAUUGUUGUUAUUCUUCACGUGAGAAUAAACGAAAAAAAAGAAAAUCAUCUGUUAUUUUUGUGAAAAUCUAAAUCCAGGGAAGAAUUUAUAUAUUGCUGGAUACUAUUCGAAUCAAGGAUACCAUAAGCGAUAACGAUAAAAAAAUGCUUAAUCACUUAUUAAAUUGGUAACUUAUAAAAUAAAUAUGUAAGACUCAAAUAUUACGGUAGAAGGUAGAACCUCUAAAUUUCACUUUUCUAUUACAAUGCUUCUAGUUCCUCUCUAGACCCACUUGCCUUCUGGCAGUUUGGUUUCAACAUGGCAACAGUAUCAAAGGUCUUGUUAUUUGAGACAAGUUGGUGUGGGCGGG